CAUCUUAGAUCUUCAGACUUCGUUAAAAGAAUCAGCUAAUUCUAUUUAAAAUAUCAAAUCAUCAUCAAUUUCUAUUCCAUAAAUAUAAUAAGAUUAAAUCAUAAGGAAAGAGGACUGUUGUCCGGAUGUGUCGGACCAUCCAGAUACCAGAGCAAUUCAGAGUCUCUGAUCUGAGGGUCAGAUUUAAAUGACUUGAUCAAAAAAUUAUGAAGCACAGAUUGAAUUAAGAUCAAGAUCAAUCAAUAGGGUUCAUUAAUAAUGAAUUUGAAAGAUAUUUGAUAUGAUCAAAUGAGGUUGACAUACAGCACGGAUAUCAAAGCAACUUUGGAUCAUCUUGUUAGAGUCAACAUGAGCCCCUAAAAGAUGAAGGCAUGACUUGGUACAGGAUUCAUAGACCUUCUUAGAGAGAGAAAGUCAAUCAUGAGAGAGAAAGUAGAGAGAGAAAGUGG
This 449-nucleotide long non-coding RNA is filed under the name Elaeis guineensis (African oil palm). Its description in RNAcentral is "long non-coding RNA (EGUI_LNC025165)". The record is from RNAcentral. Lineage: Eukaryota; Viridiplantae; Streptophyta; Magnoliopsida; Arecales; Arecaceae.